This 274-nucleotide ribosomal RNA is filed under the name uncultured bacterium. RNAcentral describes it as "partial 16S ribosomal RNA". It matches the Rfam family "Bacterial small subunit ribosomal RNA", at positions 523 to 796 of the family's 1533-position model. The record is from RNAcentral.
AUACGGAGGGUCCAAGCGUUAUCCGGAAUCAUUGGGUUUAAAGGGUCCGCAGGCGGUCAAUUAAGUCAGAGGUGAAAGCCCAUCGCUCAACGAUGGAACUGCCUUUGAUACUGGUUGACUUGAGUUAUACGGAAGUAGAUAGAAUAAGUAGUGUAGCGGUGAAAUGCAUAGAUAUUACUUAGAAUACCGAUUGCGAAGGCAGUCUACUACGUAUAUACUGACGCUGAGGGACGAAAGCGUGGGGAGCGAACAGAAUUAGAUACCCUAGUAGUCC